This 2259-nucleotide long non-coding RNA is filed under the name Bemisia tabaci. RNAcentral describes it as "lncRNA ENSSSA2NGG006301". Lineage: Eukaryota; Metazoa; Arthropoda; Insecta; Hemiptera; Aleyrodidae. The record is from RNAcentral.
UAGUCGAGUGGAUACUGAUUCGUGGUGGACGGAAAGUCGUCUUGAUUGUGUCCAAUCAGAUUGGAGGAACCAAAAAACUGAACGAUUUGAUCAAUAAAUAUGGAGCUCAGCUCUUGAUAUCUUCAAUUAAAAAGAUCAACUCAGGCACGAGACGGCCUCUUUGAUGGAUCAGAUUAAAAAACUUCGUCCGGUCCCUAUUUUAUUCAACAUCUUUAUGGACGAGAGACUGACAUUACACAUAGCAUCCUUCCUUCCGCAUCCUCACCAAAUAGUCAACGUAGCUCGCACUCAGGACUCUAUCCAAAGCAAAAAUGGAAGAAGUGGCAAUAUUCAAAAGGGCACCAGUCGCAUGUGCGUCAUAUGUGAGGACGGGGAGUCGUACUUGCAGCUUUUGGACCAAGCGCUGAUAAAUAAUACUGAUCCGAAAAUUGACUCGAUCUACUCAAUCAACGACAGUUCUAAAAAGUCAAAAAAACAAACCAUUCCAAUACGCGAGUACUUACCAAAAUCUUUCGAGGAGCUAGAGGAGAUAGGAAAGUGUGCAGAAUCUUUCCCGAAGCCACCAAUGACUCCAAUCAACGACUCAACGGUUGAUUCCACCGAUGUUGCAACCGAUGCUCCGUCCGAUUCCGACAAGAGCUCACCGUCAGACACUGAAAAUACGCCUACCAAUAUACCCCCAUGCGCUGCGUUCGAGGAGAUUCACACAUUGACUUGGCGCCAAAAAUAUCAACGGGAAAUUUUACCGGUGUACCUCAUCAGUAGCUCUGUAAAAAAAUUCACCCCAAUCCAGAAGAAACUGUUGUACCCACUGUACUAUGCCAAAUUUUCGGAACAGAUACCGUCAGCGGCGGAGGCUGCUAAACAUUUAUGCAUUUCCAUCUGUACCAUUCAACCCAAAGGACCAUGCACUAUCAUAACAGAAACUUGGAAUAUACCAAUUGCUAUGGAGCUCAUUAAAAAAUUGAAAGAAUGUCACCGACAAGCUUAUCUAACUAUUCUACCUAUUAGCCAAAAGAGUUUACUCUCUUUACUUCCAGAGGAAGAAAAACUGGAAGACAUCGUGCUACGAAAUAUACUGCAGUUAUCUUUAAAGGAAUAUGAAAACCAAUACUCAGAGAUGGAUAUCGAAACGAAAGUGGCUGAAAUUCGUAGCAAGACUAAUUUCAAAUUCGAGGAAAACACAGUUCUUGUUGGCCUCACUAUUUUCAUGAAACAGAUGGAGUUCUUUUUGGAAGCGCCCUUACCCAAUAAACUGUUGGACUGUCCAAUUUUGGUGGUCGAGAUGGAGACAAACAUUGUUAAUCAGGCUGAUUAUGUGAAGAUAUCGACAGGAAUGUCUCGGUGUUUAAAAGCUCAACGACUUCUUACAAGGAAUUACUGUCGGAUCCAGCACUGAUCAAAGAACUUAAUGAACGACAACUGUUCUCGUGGCUGCAGGAAAAAGAGAUUGCAUCAAAAUAAUGUUUCAAAAACGCACCAGUCGUCAGCUGAUGUUAACUAAUAUCUAAAUUUAGAUAAUUUUGUAGUUAUUAGAACUUUAAAACUUUUUAAACUUUUUUUGAAAAACUCACGCUUUCACUAAUUGGUUAUUUCCCGUAAAAUAAUUUUUUUUCGGAAAAUAACCAAUUAGUGAAAGCGUGAGUUUUUCAAAAUUAUUUAAAAAAGUUUUGAUACAGCUUUUACUGUUUUUAAAAAUUUCGAUUAUUUUAUUAAAAAUUAUUAGAACUUUCUUGCAAUUUAGACCAGUAUUUUUUUAGCUUUUUUCACACAAGCCAGAGGAAAUUUAAGAGAAAAGAUGACUGAAUUCCACCGCCUUUUUCAUUUUUUUUCCGUCAUUUUUUAAAUUAAGCAAGGCUAACAAAAUAAUGGAAAAAAAACUAUCCGCAGAAUUAUUUUGUCUAAAUUUAAAAAAAAAUUAUUGGCGCAUUGUUUUGUAGUAACAAUUUUAAUAUGCAUUUUAAAACCUUUAAAUUAUGACUUAAAUUCUAUUUGUUUAUUCUAGUAAAGUGACAACCUUCCAUGUUUUAUAAAUAAACCGUAUACUUCAGCAUGACCAAGUUGCUUUUGCUUCUUUCUAAUUUUAUCAAUACUUGCAUGCAAGCAGGAAUACACUGAUUUAGUGGCUACGUUUUUCGAUAUAAUAUCGAAAUAUUGAUUCAACCCGAAACAAACUAACAUAACCUCAUGUGCGAAUCCUUCAUGAGUUAAUUGUGUUAAUUGGUUACAAUUUAGUUAUUGACCGGUCCUAAAUCAAUU